UUGGGAGGAGUUACAAGGAAACACUCUCGCUGCGCUUAGAGAGGACGAAGAAUUGAGCCGGGUCAUGAAAGUACCGGUUUAUCCUAUUGGGCCAAUUGUUAGGACUAACCAGCAUGUAGACAAACCCAAUAGUAUAUUCGAGUGGCUAGACGAGCAACGGGAAAGGUCAGUGGUGUUUGUGUGUUUAGGGAGCGGUGGAACGUUGACGUUUGAGCAAACAGUGGAACUCGCUUUGGGUUUAGAGUUAAGUGGUCAAAGGUUCGUUUGGGUUCUACGUAGGCCCGCUUCAUAUCUCGGGGCGAUCUCCAGCGAUGAUGAACAGGUAAGUGCCAGUCUACCUGAAGGUUUCUUGGACCGCACGCGUGGUGUGGGGAUUGUGGUUACGCAAUGGGCACCACAAGUUGAGAUCUUGAGCCAUAGAUCGAUCGGUGGGUUCUUGUCUCACUGCGGUUGGAGUUCGGCUUUGGAAAGUUUGACUAAAGGAGUUCCGAUCAUCGCUUGGCCUCUUUAUGCGGAGCAGUGGAUGAAUGCCACGUUAUUGACUGAGGAGAUCGGUGUGGCCGUUCGUACAUCGGAGUUACCGUCGGAGAGAGUCAUCGGAAGGGAAGAAGUGGCAUCUCUGGUGAGAAAGAUUAUGGCGGAAGAGGAUGAAGAAGGACAGAAAAUUAGGGCUAAAGCUGAGGAGGUGAGGGUUAGCUCCGAACGAGCUUGGAGUAAAGACGGGUCAUCUUAUAAUUCUCUAUUCGAAUGGGCAAAACGAUGUUAUCUUGUACCGUGAUUCGAGAAUAACAUCAUGAACAACAAUUUCUGUUUAAGAUAUCAACUUUUUCUAUAUGAAUAUAUAUUAAGGUGUGUUAAAUUUUGCUAUGCAUAUAUACAAGAUAUGUACUUCAAUCAGGUAUCCUU
Molecule: small RNA, 906 nt
Filed under: Arabidopsis thaliana (thale cress)
Lineage: Eukaryota; Viridiplantae; Streptophyta; Magnoliopsida; Brassicales; Brassicaceae
Description: ATSL104760
Source: RNAcentral